AACGAACGCUGGCGGCAUGCCUAACACAUGCAAGUCGAACGAGACCUUCGGGUCUAGUGGCGCACGGGUGCGUAACGCGUGGGAACCUGCCCUUAGGUUCGGAAUAACUCCCCGAAAGGGGUGCUAAUACCGGAUAAUGUCUUCGGACCAAAGAUUUAUCGCCUUUGGAUGGGCCCGCGUUGGGUUAGCUAGUUGGUAGGGUAAAAGCCUACCAAGGCGACGAUCCAUAGCUGGUCUGAGAGGAUGAUCAGCCACACUGGGACUGAGACACGGCCCAGACUCCUACGGGAGGCAGCAGUGGGGAAUAUUGGACAAUGGGCGAAAGCCUGAUCCAGCAAUGCCGCGUGAGUGAUGAAGGCCUUAGGGUUGUAAAGCUCUUUUACCCGGGAUGAUAAUGACAGUACCGGGAGAAUAAGCUCCGGCUAUCUCCGUG
This 433-nucleotide ribosomal RNA is filed under the name uncultured bacterium. Its description in RNAcentral is "partial 16S ribosomal RNA". It matches the Rfam family "Bacterial small subunit ribosomal RNA", at positions 29 to 507 of the family's 1533-position model. The record is from RNAcentral.